This 500-nucleotide ribosomal RNA is filed under the name uncultured bacterium. RNAcentral's name for it is "partial 16S ribosomal RNA". It matches the Rfam family "Bacterial small subunit ribosomal RNA", at positions 30 to 523 of the family's 1533-position model. The record is from RNAcentral.
AUUGAACGCUGGCGGCAUGCCUUACACAUGCAAGUCGAACGGCAGCACGGGAGCAAUCCUGGUGGCGAGUGGCGAACGGGUGAGUAAAGUAUCGGAACGUGCCCAGUCGUGGGGGAUAACGUAGCGAAAGUUACGCUAAUACCGCAUACGAUCUAUGGAUGAAAGCGGGGGAUCGCAAGACCUCGCGCGAUUGGAGCGGCCGAUAUCAGAUUAGGUAGUUGGUGGGGGAAAGGCUCACCAAGCCGACGAUCUGUAGCUGGUCUGAGAGGACGACCAGCCACACUGGGACGGAGACACGGCCCAGACUCCUACGGGAGGCAGCAGUGGGGAAUUUUGGACAAUGGGCGCAAGCCUGAUCCAGCCAUGCCGCGUGCAGGAUGAAGGCCUUCGGGUUGUAAACUGCUUUUGUACGGAACGAAAAGGUUUGACUUAAUACGUUGGACUCAUGACGGUACCGUAAGAAUAAGCACCGGCUAACUACGUGCCAGCAGCCGCCGCCG